GGCGGCAGGCUUAACACAUGCAAGUCGAGCGCCUCGCAAGAGGAGCGGCAGACGGGUGAGUAACGCGUGGGAAUCUACCCAUCUCUACGGAACAACUCCGGGAAACUGGAGCUAAUACCGUAUACGUCCUUCGGGAGAAGGAUUUAUCGGAGAUGGAUGAGCCCGCGUUGGAUUAGCUAGUUGGUGGGGUAAUGGCCUACCAAGGCGACGAUCCAUAGCUGGUCUGAGAGGAUGAUCAGCCACAUUGGGACUGAGACACGGCCCAAACUCCUACGGGAGGCAGCAGUGGGGAAUAUUGGACAAUGGGCGAAAGCCUGAUCCAGCCAUGCCGCGUGAGUGAUGAAGGCCCUAGGGUUGUAAAGCUCUUUCAACGGUGAAGAUAAUGACGGUAACCGUAGAAGAAGCCCCGGCUAACUUCGUGCCAGCAGCCGCGGUAAUACGAAGGGGGCUAGCGUUGUUCGGAAUUACUGGGCGUAAAGCGCACGUAGGCGGAUUGUUAAGUUAGGGGUGAAAUCCCGGGGCUCAACCCCGGAACUGCCUUUAAUACUGGCAAUCUC
RNAcentral lists this ribosomal RNA (557 nucleotides) under uncultured Alphaproteobacteria bacterium. Its description in RNAcentral is "bacterial SSU rRNA". It matches the Rfam family "Bacterial small subunit ribosomal RNA", at positions 38 to 643 of the family's 1533-position model. The record is from RNAcentral. Lineage: Bacteria; Pseudomonadati; Pseudomonadota; Alphaproteobacteria.